AUAAAUCAUUAAAUUUAAAAGAUUUGGCUGUAUUUUAUAGAAUUAGAGGAAUCUGUUUAUUAAUUGAUAUUCCACGAUAAGAAAUACUUAAUAUUUAUGUAUUGCUGUUUACAGAAUAUUAUUAAUUAAAUAUUUAAAUUUUUAAUUUAAUUUAUUUCAAGUCAAAAUAUAGUAUAAUUAAGUAAUGGAUUACAAUUUAAUUUUGAAAUUGGAUUUAAAAGUAA
Molecule: ribosomal RNA, 224 nt
Filed under: Chartergellus zonatus
Lineage: Eukaryota; Metazoa; Arthropoda; Insecta; Hymenoptera; Vespidae
Description: partial small subunit ribosomal RNA
Source: RNAcentral